RNAcentral lists this ribosomal RNA (320 nucleotides) under uncultured eukaryote. Its description in RNAcentral is "partial 18S ribosomal RNA". It matches the Rfam family "Eukaryotic small subunit ribosomal RNA", at positions 1470 to 1796 of the family's 1831-position model. The record is from RNAcentral.
CCCCUAGAUGUUCUGGGCCGCACGCGCGCUACACUGAACAGUUCAACAAGUCUUAACCUUGGCCGAUAGGUCUGGGUAAUCUUUGAACGCUGUUCGUGAUUGGGAUAGACCUUUGCAAUUAUGGGUCUUCAACGAGGAAUUCCUAGUAAACGCAAGUCAUCAGCUUGCAUUGAUUACGUCCCUGCCCUUUGUACACACCGCCCGUCGCACCUGCCGAUUGAAUGGUCCGGUGAAAUCUCGGGACGGCGGCUUGGUCGCUUGCGUCCGACUGCUGAAACUUGAUUAAACCAUAUCAUUUAGAGGAAGGUGAANUCGUANCA